Molecule: ribosomal RNA, 478 nt
Filed under: uncultured bacterium
Lineage: Bacteria
Description: partial 16S ribosomal RNA
Rfam family: Bacterial small subunit ribosomal RNA
Source: RNAcentral
GAUGAACGCUGGCGGCGUGCUUAACACAUGCAAGUCGAACGAGAAAUGUAGACGGACACCUUCGGGCGGAAGCCUUCAUUUCGAGUGGCGGACGGGUGAGUAACGCGUGGGUAACCUGCCUCAUACAGGGGGAUAACAGUUGGAAACGACUGUUAAUACCGCAUAAGACCACAGCAUCGCAUGAUGCGGGGGUAAAAACUCCGGUGGUAUGAGAUGGACCCGCGUUCGAUUAGCCAGUUGGCGGGGUAACGGCCCACCAAAGCGACGAUCGAUAGCCGAUCUGAGAGGAUGACCGGCCACAGUGGGACUGAGACACGGCCCAAACUCCUACGGGAGGCAGCAGUGGGGAAUAUUGCACAAUGGGGGAAACCCUGAUGCAGCGACGCCGCGUGAGUGAAGAAGUACUUCGGUAUGUAAAGCUCUAUCAGCAGGGAAGAAAAUGACGGUACCUGAGUAAGAAGCCCCGGCUAACUACGUG